This 437-nucleotide ribosomal RNA is filed under the name uncultured bacterium. RNAcentral's name for it is "bacterial SSU rRNA". It matches the Rfam family "Bacterial small subunit ribosomal RNA", at positions 28 to 485 of the family's 1533-position model. The record is from RNAcentral.
GAUGAACGCUGGCGGCGCGCCUAACACAUGCAAGUCGAACGGCACCUAUCUUCGGGUAGAAGCGAGUGGCGAACGGCUGAGUAACACGUGGAGAACCUGCCCCCUCCCCCGGGAUAGCCGCCCGAAAGGACGGGUAAUACCGGAUACCCCGGGGUGCCGCAUGGCACCCCGGCUAAAGCCCCGACGGGAGGGGAUGGCUCCGCGGCCCAUCAGGUAGACGGCGGGGUGACGGCCCACCGUGCCGACAACGGGUAGCCGGGUUGAGAGACCGACCGGCCAGAUUGGGACUGAGACACGGCCCAGACUCCUACGGGAGGCAGCAGUGGGGAAUCUUGCGCAAUGGGGGGAACCCUGACGCAGCGACGCCGCGUGCGGGACGGAGGCCUUCGGGUCGUAAACCGCUUUCAGCAGGGAAGAGUCAAGACUGUACCUGCAGA